Pogona vitticeps (central bearded dragon) is the source of this 556-nucleotide non-coding RNA. The record is from RefSeq and is a predicted model, not a curated record. Lineage: Eukaryota; Metazoa; Chordata; Lepidosauria; Squamata; Agamidae.
GGUCGGCUGACAUGUGUAAAUAUUGUGCCUAUUCAUUGGCCCCGGUGUCUUUCUGUUUGGAAGCGCAAGGAAGCCGGGGCGCUGCCUCCUGUACAUUUCGAAACCGAGUGGCAUCGGGCUACGUCGCGUACCUCAAAAGCAAAGCAUUUCAUUGGUACCUCACGGAGCUCUUUGCCCACAAAUAUGUUCUGCACUGUUCAAGUCGGACAAACUUCACAGCGACCUUAACAGGGCUUGGAAAGAUUGUUAACUGUGCUGAGCAGCUAUGAAGAAAGACAAGGAGGUGAAGAAAGAAUGGAGAUGUUGUCAUAUUGAGAAGCAAGAUAGGACCAAGCAACACACAAUGAAAAGUGGGAAGACUGACUAUUUGCUACAUUCUUGUGGAACAGGAUGGAAGGUGAUCUAAACAAAUCUCAUAUGAAUAGAUAUGUCCCUCAUGGCUGGUUGUCUGAGAAGGAGCUAUCAAGUCUAGGAAUUCCAGGAUCACAGGACAGACAAACAAAUGAAUGAUAUAUGUUUUAAAUGCAAGAAUUUUAGAAGAUCUAAUGAACUAUGU